UUUAGCUGUUAACUAAAGUUUCGUGGGGGUGGAGCCCACCAGUCUAG
Molecule: transfer RNA, 47 nt
Filed under: Bos taurus (domestic cattle)
Lineage: Eukaryota; Metazoa; Chordata; Mammalia; Artiodactyla; Bovidae
Description: partial tRNA-Asn
Source: RNAcentral